UACGGAGGGGUUAGCGUUGUUCGGAAUUACUGGGCGUAGAGCGCACGUAGGCGGAUUGGAAAGUUGGGGGUGAAAUCCCAGGGGCUCAACCCCUGGAACUGCCUCCAAAACUCCCAGUCUGGAGUUCGAGAGAGGUGAGUGGAAUUCCGAGUGUAGAGGUGAAAUUCGUAGAUAAUUCGGAGGAACACCAGUGGCGAAAGGCGGCUCACUGGCUCGAUACUGACGCUGAGGUGCGAAAGUGUGGGGAGCAAAACAGG
Molecule: ribosomal RNA, 257 nt
Filed under: uncultured bacterium
Lineage: Bacteria
Description: partial 16S ribosomal RNA
Rfam family: Bacterial small subunit ribosomal RNA
Source: RNAcentral